RNAcentral lists this long non-coding RNA (1548 nucleotides) under Pan troglodytes (chimpanzee). RNAcentral's name for it is "long non-coding RNA NONPTRT007842". Lineage: Eukaryota; Metazoa; Chordata; Mammalia; Primates; Hominidae. The record is from RNAcentral.
UUUCUGAUAUUCUUACACCAGAUAUGUACGAAAAUGAUCUGUCCUGUUGGUGUAAUUAGGAAUGUCCAUGCAGAUACAGUUAAACAACUGUAAUUGACUGUUCUGUAAAGUUAUUUUGGGCAAAGUUGCGGAGACACAUUCCUCUGUCCACCUAAGAAAUCAGAAGACUCUUCUGUUGAUUUAUGUUUAAUCAUUUCAGUAGUUUCCCCACAGUGAUCAUUUCUGCAUUUUCUGGCUUUUGUUUUCUUGGCUGAAAGUGAAUGGUGACUGUUAGGAAUGUCAGGGACUAGUGACCCAGUCCUGUUUCUCUGUGUUUUAGUUAUUAAAAAGAAAUUCUGUACCCAAAGUGACACGAAAGUGUAGUCUACAUUUUUACUGUUUCAGAAGCGGCAUGGAAAAGUGCAGUUGGCCUUUGGAGCUGGAAGUGUCUUGCUGGUGAGGCUCCAUCCUGGAGACACUGGUGGGGAGUGGGCUGGCGCUGGGGCCCUGCCGGCCGCGUGCUGGAUCCUUCCUGGCUUGCAGGAGAGCAGGCGUGGAGGACAGUCAGCUUGCGGGGCCGCACAGGGUGCACAGAGUGCAGGAGGAAGGUUUUCACCCAGUUAAACAGACUGGGGAGCCCCCCCAAGAACGCCAUCCCUUGAGGCCAGCUGUGGGCAGGCCUGGAUGUGUGGUCCCUUCCUUCCACCCAUCAUCAGUAUUGUAUUGGUUUGUUAAUUUGUUGAUUUGGUCAUAGUAUUUAAUAUGAUUUGUGUUUUCUUAUUUAUUUAGCCACUGUUUUGAUUCCCUUUUUUUUCCGAAUGGUAAUUUCUGCAUGAUACGCUUCUGUACGUUGUCUUCUGACUGUUACAGACUUUCUACUACCUCUCCCGAUCUGCUGUUUCCUUGUUUCUUAACAGGAUUUUUUACAGUGUUGCGUCUAAUGUAACUUAGACAAUAAAGGGUUUGGUUGUCUACACUGCAGCUUCUCGGUGUCUCUACCCUGCUUUCCGCUCGCUGCUUCCCGCUCUGCCCCUGCUGGGGCCUGGCUGCACCCUGGCCUGCCUUCCCACACUCUCCUGUUUCCCGCUCAUAUCUCUUCCUCAUUUUUGCGUUCAAAUAACACACAGCUAAUGAGCUUCUAAAAAUCUUUUCAGGUUGUUCACUUGUAUUCCUUAAUUUGAAGAAUGAAUAUUUAAAUUCUCUCAAAAGUCAGAUAUUGAGGAUCUUCUCUGGGAAAUUGGCCACUGUACCUGCGCAGCCACCUUUCUGCCUGGUUCCCUGGAAGGUCUUAUUGUCAUCUUAGACGGACAGAUUUCAUUCUCAGCACCAUACAGAUUUGGCUUCAAAGCCAGAACGUUUUGUUCACUGAGCAAAAAAAAAGAUGAAACAACCACAGGCCAGGACUUCAAGUGAGGAGGACGCCUUUGUUUGCUGUGGUUGGUGGGAGCACACGCUGGAGCCCGGUAACAUGCCUGUGGGAGUGACCAAGGGCCACCCGCCCAAGGGAAAAUGUUCAUUCUUCAUCAGCUUUGCUAAUUCUACUUUGAGGCAGUAAAAUGCAAAAGACCA